UACAACGCACUACUUGUUUAUAGUGGUGGUUGCUGUCAACAGCACGCUGCUAACUAUCAACGCAGGAGACUAUAUCUUCUACACAGACUGGAUGUGGUCAUCAUUUGUCGUAUUUUCGAUCUCUCAAUCUACUAUGCUUGUAGUAGGAGCGAUAUACUAUAUGCUGUUCACAGGAGUUCCAGGAACUGCCACAUAUUAUGCCACAAUCAUGACCAUAUACACUUGGGUCGCCAAGGGUGCAUGGUUUGCAUUGGGUUAUCCUUAUGACUUCAUUGGGCUACGAGAAGAAACAAACACGCUGCCAUAAUCAUAGGUGGAACGCUGGUUGGCCUGUCCUUACCGCUGUUUAACAUGGUCAAUCUGCUGCUCAUAAGGGAUCCAUUGGAGGUGGCAUUCAAAUAUCCAAGGCCUACACUGCCAGCAUAUAUGACUCCCGUCGAACCUCAGGUUGGCAAGUUCUACAACAGUCCUGUUGCCUUAGGAGCAGGCGCGGGAGCGGUGCUGUGCGUUCCAAUAGCUGCGUUAGGUGCAAAGCUUAACACGUGG
Molecule: ribosomal RNA, 546 nt
Filed under: uncultured Nitrososphaerota archaeon
Lineage: Archaea; Thermoproteati; Nitrososphaerota
Description: uncultured thaumarchaeote partial 16S ribosomal RNA
Source: RNAcentral